AGAUGCGAGAGUAGAGCAUAUCAAUAAGCGGAGGAAAAGAAACUAACAAGGAUUCCCUUAGUAACGGCGAGUGAAGCGGGAAGAGCUCAAAUUUGAAAUCUUCAAGGUUCUACCUUGACGAAUUGUAGUUUAAAGAAGUGUUUUCUGUUAGAUGAGUAGCAAAAGUUCCUUGGAAUGGGACAUCAUAGAGGGUGAGAAUCCCGUAUUUGGUUAUUCAUUCUAGCUUUGUGAUACACUUUCAAAGAGUCGGAUUGUUUGGGAAUGCAGUCCAAAAUGGGUGGUAAAUUUCAUCUAAAGCUAAAUAUUGGCGAGAGACCGAUAGCGAACAAGUACCGUGAGGGAAAGAUGAAAAGAACUUCGAAAAGAGAGUUAAACAGUACGUGAAAUUGUCAAAAGGGAAGCGUUUGACACCAGUGUUGUUUUCUCGAAAAUCAAUUACGAAUGGCUUGAUUUUGUGUUGUAUUGACCUUAUCAGCUUUCUGCACUUUUUUCGAGUCUUUCUUAAUGCACUUUUCGGUUAACAAGUCAACAUCAAUUUCUUUUGUUGUAAAAGAGUAUUCGGAAGGUGGCUUUCUUUUCGGAGAAAGUGUUUAUAGCCCUAUACUUCUACAAUCGGAGAGAUUGAGGUCUGCAGCGUAGAUCCUUCGGGGUUAGAUACAUUUGUGCUAAGUUGUAGCUUUUCCAUAGACAACUUGUUGACUAUGUUUAGUCAUGCGGCUUACUCGCUUAUGCUAUUUUACCUACGCUUAGGAUGUUGAGCGCAUGUCUCUCUCU
RNAcentral lists this ribosomal RNA (774 nucleotides) under uncultured Neocallimastigales. RNAcentral describes it as "partial large subunit ribosomal RNA". It matches the Rfam family "Eukaryotic large subunit ribosomal RNA", at positions 23 to 616 of the family's 3401-position model. The record is from RNAcentral. Lineage: Eukaryota; Fungi; Neocallimastigomycota; Neocallimastigomycetes; Neocallimastigales.